UCUUGGUCAUUUAGAGGAAGUAAAAGUCGUAACAAGGUUUCCGUAGGUGAACCUGCGGAAGGAUCAUUACUGAAAUAGAAGACCCACUCUGUGGGGCUUCACAAUUUCAUAUUCAAACACAAUGUGCACUGUACAGAUGAACACAUACUCAGCUCUCUGGGUAUUGCUACUAGUCUUGUUUUCAUACCACACACAAGUCAUUGUAUGUGUCAUACAUAUAUGCAAUAGAACUUUCAACAACGGAUCUCUUGGCUCCCGCAUCGAUGAAGAACGCAGCGAAAUGCGAUAAGUAAUGUGAAUUGCAGAACUCAGUGAAUCAUCGAAUCUUUGAACGCACCUUGCACUCCAUGGUAUUCCGUGGAGUAUGUCUGUCUGAGUGUCAUGAAACUCUCAACCCUUUGCCUUUGCUUCUGUCUUUGGCAAUGCGGCUUGGAUCAUGAGUGCCUGCUGGACCUUUGCAUCAGCUCACUCUAAAUAUAUCAGCGGUCUGCUUGCCUUUUGCAGCUGCACUUGGAUCUGGCGUAAUAGGUUUUAUUCGCUGGAGCUCGGUGUGGAUUGCCGGUGUUGCGCUCAGCUGCCAAUCAUGUGCAAUCAGUACAAUCAGUGUUAGACCUCAGAUCAGGCAGGACUACCCGCUGAACAUAAGCAUAUCAAUA
This 656-nucleotide ribosomal RNA is filed under the name uncultured fungus. RNAcentral's name for it is "eukaryotic LSU rRNA". The stretch from base 229 to 382 matches the Rfam family "5.8S ribosomal RNA". The record is from RNAcentral. Lineage: Eukaryota; Fungi.